CCUUACCGCAUCCUGAAUUCAAAUGAUGAUUUCAUUUGGUAGAAGACCUUACCUAAUCUGCCUUUAAAUGCCCGACAGGUGGCGAAAAACAAACUGUAUUUUUCUACCACACGAUGACACUGUCGUCGAGAUCUAGAGAGCCUAUAUAAAGAGUACCACCGUGAUGCUUUAUCCUUUUGCACCUAGAACCUCACCGGUACCAAAUAAGUAAUUCUUUUGUUGAUUUUGUUGGGUGAAUGCGUUUUGAGUAUAGUUCUUAUUGUUUUCCUGAUGCUUGUUAAUUAAUUUUUGGGGUUAUACGCAUUCCAAUUUUCAGAUAUUUCUGGGACUUGUCACUUUUAAUCAAUAAUACUACGCUUGCUCAAUUCUUCAUUUGAUUAUUAUCUUUGUUCCUAAUGUGAGUUAUGUUUAGUACGUUUUGUGUUUGAGAUCAUAUUAUAGUUGAGAUUCAAUUGUAAUUAUGAUGGGAGAACUUGGUUCAACAGAAUAAAAUGUCACUGGCUAGUGUUUCUUUCUAUGUGGUUCCAGGUUGUGAUGGAUAUCUUAUAGUAAAGGGUUUGGUUUGUUGAUUUUAUGGAUUGAUAUAAUUUUUUCUAUGUUAAAUCCUCAAUCAUACCACCAGUUUUAUGUGUUACAUGAUCUACAAUUAAUUAUUAAGACAUAGGUUUAUGGGAAGUUUGAAAAAAUAUUCCACUGAAAGCUUUUUUGUGAAGCAGUCUUAUUUAUCCAGUGGUGUUUGUCAUGAUUGUUUCUCACUUCCUUGAGUGUAAGUAUAAUUUGACCAUGAGGUUUUAUUGUGAUGGGUGAAAGAAUAUAUUUAUAAUUAUUGCCCUCA
Molecule: long non-coding RNA, 835 nt
Organism: Daphnia magna
Lineage: Eukaryota; Metazoa; Arthropoda; Branchiopoda; Diplostraca; Daphniidae
Exons: 2
Source: RefSeq, a predicted model, not a curated record